CUACGGGAGGCAGCAGUGGGGAAUAUUGCACAAUGGAGGAAACUCUGAUGCAGCAACGCCGCGUGGAGGAUGACACUUUUCGGAGCGUAAACUCCUUUUAUAUAGGAAGAUAAUGACGGUACUAUAUGAAUAAGCACCGGCUAACUCCGUGCCAGCAGCCGCGGUAAUACGGAGGGUGCAAGCGUUACUCGGAAUCACUGGGCGUAAAGAGCGUGUAGGCGGGUUAAUAAGUCAGAAGUGAAAUCCUAUGGCUCAACCAUAGAACUGCUUUUGAAACUGUUAACCUAGAGUGUGGGAGAGGUAGAUGGAAUUUCUGGUGUAGGGGUAAAAUCCGUAGAGAUCAGAAGGAAUACCGAUUGCGAAGGCGAUCUACUGGAACAUAACUGACGCUGAGACGCGAAAGCGUGGGGGGCAAACAGGAUUAGAUACCCCCGUAGUC
RNAcentral lists this ribosomal RNA (439 nucleotides) under uncultured bacterium. RNAcentral describes it as "partial 16S ribosomal RNA". It matches the Rfam family "Bacterial small subunit ribosomal RNA", at positions 339 to 795 of the family's 1533-position model. The record is from RNAcentral.